UGGGAUACCUAGAAAGCAGUGGACACAUAGUGAACAAUCCAGACACAAUGGAACUGAUUCAUCUGUGAGCCAGAGGCCUCUGCAGGCAGCAGGCCUCAAGGAUGAAGGCAAAGACAGCAAAUGC
Long non-coding RNA from Aquila chrysaetos chrysaetos, 124 nucleotides. RefSeq lists it as uncharacterized. The record is from RefSeq and is a predicted model, not a curated record. NCBI's taxonomy places the organism in Eukaryota, Metazoa, Chordata, Aves, Accipitriformes, Accipitridae. The transcript has 3 exons.